AUUGCUUCCUGACCUUUUGGCUAAGAACAAGUGUAGUAUCUGUUCUUAUCCGUUUAAAAAUAUAGUUAACUUAAAAGUUACAUUUAUCUUGUUCCCAAAUCCAGGCAGAGACAGGGUCAGAUGAGGGCCUUUACCGGUUAUCUGAAAGGGAUGCACACCUGAAGAUGGAACUAAG
RNAcentral lists this small nuclear RNA (175 nucleotides) under Myotis lucifugus (little brown bat). RNAcentral describes it as "U2 spliceosomal RNA (ENSMLUG00000021844.1)". The stretch from base 1 to 104 matches the Rfam family "U2 spliceosomal RNA". From Rfam's summary of the family: U2 is a small nuclear RNA (snRNA) component of the spliceosome (involved in pre-mRNA splicing). Complementary binding between U2 snRNA (in an area lying towards the 5' end but 3' to hairpin I) and the branchpoint sequence (BPS) of the intron results the bulging out of an unpaired adenosine, on the BPS, which initiates a nucleophilic attack at the intronic 5' splice site, thus starting the first of two transesterification reactions that mediate splicing. The record is from RNAcentral. Lineage: Eukaryota; Metazoa; Chordata; Mammalia; Chiroptera; Vespertilionidae.